GGAUGGGAGAACAAUGAGGCUGUGACCUCUGUCACCCCACUGGUCACAAGGGUUAAUUCUGCUGAGCUUGGUGGCUACACAGGUUUCUCCUUCCUCCCUCCCUGCUCCAUGUGCAUCCCUCCUGGGGUUGUACACUCAGUCAAAGAGGAUGACCUUCCCUGGGUAAAGACAGACUUUUGAUGAAGGGUACACGAGAAGCUGCACUUCCCUGCUAGAACCUCAAACACACACACACACACACCUCUUAUCUCUCAACUUUUGUCUAUGAGUGAAAUCAUCUCAUAUUCAUCCUUCUCUUUCUGGCUUAUCUCACUUCACAUGAUCUGAUCAAGUUUCUUGCAAGAUGAA
Molecule: unclassified non-coding RNA, 348 nt
Organism: Erinaceus europaeus (western European hedgehog)
Lineage: Eukaryota; Metazoa; Chordata; Mammalia; Eulipotyphla; Erinaceidae
Gene: 7SK
Rfam family: 7SK RNA
About the family: 7SK was discovered as an abundant small nuclear RNA in the mid-70s but a possible function has only recently been suggested. Two independent studies have found that 7SK RNA binds the CDK9/cyclin T complex (known as elongation factor P-TEFb).
Source: Ensembl